UCCCGGUUGGCCCGGGCAGUAUCGCGUGAAAAAUACAACACACGACAAGGGUUGCGCUCGUUGCGGGACUUAACCCAACAUCUCACGACACGAGCUGAGGACGGCCAUGCAGCACCUGUCACCUGAUUCCUUGCGGCACUCCCCUAUUUCUAGGGGAUUCCAGGGAUGUCAAGCCUCGGUAAGGUUCUUCGUGUACCAUCGAAUUAAACCACAUGAUCCACUGCUUGUGCAGGACCCCGUCAAUUCCUUUGAGUUUUAAGCUUGCGCUCGUACUCCCCAGGCGGGAUGCUUAACGCGUUAGCUUCUCAGCCCAGAGGGUCGAUACUCCAAACUGAUAGCAUCCAUCGUUUACGGCGUGGAUUAC
RNAcentral lists this unclassified non-coding RNA (364 nucleotides) under uncultured bacterium. RNAcentral's name for it is "contains 16S-23S intergenic spacer region". The record is from RNAcentral.